UUGCUUCAGUAGCACAUAUACUAAAAUUAGAAAGAUACAGAGAAGAUUAGCAUGGACCCUGUGCAAGGAUGACACACAAAUUUGUGAAGCAUUCCAUAUUUUA
Molecule: small nuclear RNA, 103 nt
Organism: Otolemur garnettii (small-eared galago)
Lineage: Eukaryota; Metazoa; Chordata; Mammalia; Primates; Galagidae
Source: Ensembl